Molecule: long non-coding RNA, 476 nt
Filed under: Elaeis guineensis (African oil palm)
Lineage: Eukaryota; Viridiplantae; Streptophyta; Magnoliopsida; Arecales; Arecaceae
Description: long non-coding RNA (EGUI_LNC015613)
Source: RNAcentral
CCAUUUCAUUUCAUGCUUGUUCAUGGCCAAGUUUUUGUUGGAGACAAGCAAUCACCCACUUCUUCUCUGAUUACAGCGCAGACACUUUGUCCUGGCCGAGCUCGCUCAAAGAAGGUUUCGCCUGCUCCUCUUGCUCACCUCAGCCCUACUUAUAUCCAAGUCCUCGUGCAGGUUUUGUGAUAAUGGUCCUGCCUGCUCUUGUUCAAGUAAACCACACACCCACACGGUGCAAAAUGAAGAACAUAUAUGCUCUCGACAAUGAACAAAUAUGCUCUCCAGAAAGGACCAAUAAACGAAUAGCGUUCUUUUAUACUCGUGGUAAAUAUGGAAAACCCACUCAAAUAAGUUCAAAAUUUUCCCAGUACCCUUGUUUAUAUAACCAGGAGAGAGAGAACGAAGAUAGCCAGCAACAACUGAAAAUAACUCAACCAGAAAUGCUCAGCGAAAACAAACCAUACAAGCGAUCGAACACCAGU